Molecule: ribosomal RNA, 300 nt
Filed under: uncultured Thermomicrobium sp.
Lineage: Bacteria; Pseudomonadati; Thermomicrobiota; Thermomicrobia; Thermomicrobiales; Thermomicrobiaceae
Description: bacterial SSU rRNA
Rfam family: Bacterial small subunit ribosomal RNA
Source: RNAcentral
GGCGAAUGCCGGUGAAGGAGGCGCGGUAAUACGGAGGGUGCAAUGGUUAUCCGGGUUUAUUGGGUUUAAAGGGUGCGCAGGCGGAAUGUUAAGUCGGGGGUGAAAUUUUGCAGCUCAACUGGAAAAGUGCCUUCGAAACUGGCCUUCUUGAGUAUGGAUGAAGUAGGCGGAAUUUGUGGUGUAGCGGUGAAAUGCAUAGAUAUCACGAGGAACUCCGAUUGCGCAGGCAGCUUACUAAACCAUAACUGACGCUCAUGCACGAAGGCGUGGGGAUCGAACAGGAUUAGAUACCCUAGUAGC